This 70-nucleotide transfer RNA is filed under the name Lactoria diaphana (roundbelly cowfish). Its description in RNAcentral is "tRNA-Pro". It matches the Rfam family "tRNA". From Rfam's summary of the family: Transfer RNA (tRNA) molecules are approximately 80 nucleotides in length. Their secondary structure includes four short double-helical elements and three loops (D, anti-codon, and T loops). Further hydrogen bonds mediate the characteristic L-shaped molecular structure. tRNAs have two regions of fundamental functional importance: the anti-codon, which is responsible for specific mRNA codon recognition, and the 3' end, to which the tRNAs corresponding amino acid is attached (by aminoacyl-tRNA synthetases). tRNAs cope with the degeneracy of the genetic code in two manners: having more than one tRNA (with a specific anti-codon) for a particular amino acid; and 'wobble' base-pairing, i.e. permitting non-standard base-pairing at the 3rd anti-codon position. Lineage: Eukaryota; Metazoa; Chordata; Actinopteri; Tetraodontiformes; Ostraciidae. The record is from RNAcentral.
CAAAGAAUAGUUUAAUUUAGAAUACUAGCUUUGGGAGUUAGUGGUUGGGGUUAAAAUCCCCAUUCUUUGA